RNAcentral lists this ribosomal RNA (253 nucleotides) under uncultured Caldilinea sp. RNAcentral's name for it is "partial 16S ribosomal RNA". It matches the Rfam family "Bacterial small subunit ribosomal RNA", at positions 524 to 776 of the family's 1533-position model. The record is from RNAcentral. Lineage: Bacteria; Bacillati; Chloroflexota; Caldilineae; Caldilineales; Caldilineaceae.
UACGUAGGUGGCAAGCGUUAUCCGGAAUUACUGGGCGUAAAGCGCACGCAGGCGGCGCAUCAAGUUCGACGUGAAAGCUCCCGGCUUAACUGGGAGAGGUCGUUGAAGACUGAUGUGCUUGAGGCAAUGAGAGGGGUGUAGAAUUCCCGGUGUAGUGGUGGAAUGCGUAGAUAUCGGGAGGAAUACCAGUGGCGAAAGCGGCACCCUAGCAGUAGCCUGACGCUCAUGUGCGAAAGCGUGGGGAGCGAACGGG